Non-coding RNA from Sorex fumeus (smoky shrew), 77 nucleotides. Lineage: Eukaryota; Metazoa; Chordata; Mammalia; Eulipotyphla; Soricidae. The record is from the annotation of a RefSeq genome assembly.
ACCUGGCUAGCUCAGUUGGUAGAGCAUGAGACUCUUAAUCUCAGGGUCGUGGGUGGGUUUUAGCCCCACGUUGGGCG